AGUGAACGCUGGCGGUAGGCCUAACACAUGCGAGUCGAACGGCAGCGCAGUAAGAGCUUGCUCUUACGGGUGGCGAGUGGCGGACGGGUGAGGAAUACAUCGGAAUCUACUUUUUCGUGGGGGAUAACGUAGGGAAACUUACGCUAAUACCGCAUACGACCUACGGGUGAAAGCAGGGGAUCUUCGGACCUUGCGCGAUUGAAUGAGCCGAUGUCGGAUUAGCUAGUUGGCGGGGUAAAGGCCCACCAAGGCGACGAUCCGUAGCUGGUCUGAGAGGAUGAUCAGCCACACUGGAACUGAGACACGGUCCAGACUCCUACGGGAGGCAGCAGUGGGGAAUAUUGGACAAUGGGCGCAAGCCUGAUCCAGCCAUACCGCGUGGGUGAAGAAGGCCUUCGGGUUGUAAAGCCCUUUUGUUGGGAAAGAAAAGCAGCGGGUUAAUACCCCGCUGUUCUGACGGUACCCAAAGAAUAAGCACCGGCUAACUUCGUG
Molecule: ribosomal RNA, 492 nt
Filed under: uncultured bacterium
Lineage: Bacteria
Description: partial 16S ribosomal RNA
Rfam family: Bacterial small subunit ribosomal RNA
Source: RNAcentral